This 74-nucleotide transfer RNA is filed under the name Pseudomonadota bacterium. RNAcentral's name for it is "tRNA-Arg". It matches the Rfam family "tRNA". From Rfam's summary of the family: Transfer RNA (tRNA) molecules are approximately 80 nucleotides in length. Their secondary structure includes four short double-helical elements and three loops (D, anti-codon, and T loops). Lineage: Bacteria; Pseudomonadati; Pseudomonadota. RNAcentral also lists the same sequence under 1 other name. The record is from RNAcentral.
GCGACAAUAGCUCAGCUGGAUAGAGCAUCGGCCUACGAAGCCGAGGGUCGGAGGUUCGAAUCCUUCUUGUCGCG